ACUGGCGACCAAGUCAGCUGUCAUCGGAGAACAAAGAAUCCCCCAGAGCUGCUCAAGUUGUGUCACACCCGGGAAGCCCUGAGAGCUCUCUGAUUAGGAUUUCUAAAUCAGCCCCAUCGAGGCCUGAAGAAUAAAGCUGAGGAACAAUGAGCCGCUACAUUCACAGUCAGCCUCCGGCCAGCCUGCCGCCUCCCACCACCACCGCUUCCAAGGGGCCUCAGAGGCCACUUCACCUCCAUUGGGACAAUCGAAUCUCCUCGACAGCCCCCAGCCUGCCGGAGCAGUGUCCAGAGAACCCCGGGAGUGGGGUUCGCGCUGAAUUUUGAGCUGGACGACUGGAAUACCCCACCCUGACCCCAGUCUGGAGCCUGAGAACUCUCCUAUGGUAGUUGAGGCUGCAAAGUGAAAAAUAAAAAUAAAAAAAAUAAUAAUAACAGCCAGGGGCCCCGAGCAUCAACAAGACCAGGCCAGUCAAGAUUUCUUCUUCCCAGACCAACCAGCCAAGCCAGACGGAGGACACUGCAAGACGUUUCCACAGCACCUUGAAUUCGGAGCUUUGGCCUGAUGGCCACGAGAGGACUCACGUGAAAUCCGUGGGGUGCUCUUGUUGGAAGUGAAUGUUCAUUUGUUCCAUGUAAAUUUUUUUGUUUAAUGACAAAUUGUCAUUGGAUUUGCAUAUGUUUUUAAUAUAUUUGCAUCCUCCAGAGAAGGACAAGUGAAACCGCUCCAAUGUGGAA
Molecule: long non-coding RNA, 737 nt
Organism: Ictidomys tridecemlineatus (thirteen-lined ground squirrel)
Lineage: Eukaryota; Metazoa; Chordata; Mammalia; Rodentia; Sciuridae
Source: RefSeq, a predicted model, not a curated record